UGGACGACUCUCGGCAACGGAUAUCUCGGCUCUCGCAUCGAUGAAGAACGUAGCGAAAUGCGAUACCUGGUGUGAAUUGCAGAAUCCCGUGAACCAUCGAGUCUUUGAACGCAAGUUGCGCCCGAGGCCAUCCGGCUAAGGGCACGCCUGCCUGGGGGUCACGC
This 164-nucleotide ribosomal RNA is filed under the name Musa acuminata (dwarf banana). RNAcentral's name for it is "5.8S ribosomal RNA". It matches the Rfam family "5.8S ribosomal RNA". Rfam says of the family: 5.8S ribosomal RNA (5.8S rRNA) is a component of the large subunit of the eukaryotic ribosome. Lineage: Eukaryota; Viridiplantae; Streptophyta; Magnoliopsida; Zingiberales; Musaceae. The record is from RNAcentral.